This 335-nucleotide non-coding RNA is filed under the name Capsicum annuum. Its description in RNAcentral is "Eukaryotic large subunit ribosomal RNA". It matches the Rfam family "Eukaryotic large subunit ribosomal RNA", at positions 24 to 358 of the family's 3401-position model. Lineage: Eukaryota; Viridiplantae; Streptophyta; Magnoliopsida; Solanales; Solanaceae. The record is from Rfam by way of RNAcentral.
GUUGUUGAAGGGGGGGGUCUCAAUAAGAGGAGGAAAAUAAACUUUCAAGGAUUCCCUUAUAACGGCGAGCGAAUCGGGAACAACCAGUCCUUAGAAUCGGGAGGCUUUGUCAUCCGAAUUGUAUUCUGGAGAAGCAUCCUCAGCGGGGGACUGGGCCCAAGUCCCCUGGAAGGGGGCGCUAGAUAGGGUGAGAGCCUCGUUGUGCCCGGAACCUGUCGCACCACGAGGCACUGUCUACGAGUUGGGUUAUUUGGGAAUGCAGCCCAAAUCGGGCGGUGAAUUCCAUCCAAGGCUAAAUAUGGGUGAGAGAUCGAUAACGAACAAGUACCGCGAGC